Molecule: transfer RNA, 77 nt
Filed under: Aliarcobacter butzleri
Lineage: Bacteria; Pseudomonadati; Campylobacterota; Epsilonproteobacteria; Campylobacterales; Arcobacteraceae
Also listed under: 41 other names
Description: tRNA-Met
Rfam family: tRNA
About the family: Transfer RNA (tRNA) molecules are approximately 80 nucleotides in length.
Source: RNAcentral
GUCAAGGUAGCUCAGCUGGCUAGAGCGCUGGUCUCAUAAGCCGGAGGUCGAGAGUUCAAGUCUCUCUCUUGACACCA